Molecule: long non-coding RNA, 446 nt
Organism: Leucoraja erinaceus (little skate)
Lineage: Eukaryota; Metazoa; Chordata; Chondrichthyes; Rajiformes; Rajidae
Exons: 2
Source: RefSeq, a predicted model, not a curated record
AUGAGAACAAGUCACUGAUAGAUUGCUUUCAGUGAGUCUGUCACUCUCAUUAAACUCUGCGAGCAGUCCAGCGACGAAGCACAAAAUUGUUGAAAUUCCACAGAAAUAUGUUGUGAAUCUGUGCAUGGAUCUUGUGUCCACUUACUCCCACUGCAAUCUUUGCAAGUCAAAUCAUCCAUCCGAAUUAGAACAGCCAAGGGGAAGAAAGAUGAAAGAAGAAAGUGAAUAGUCAGGGUGACAGGCAGCCUUGACGAUACUCCAGCAUCCCUGAUGCAACACACCAUGAAAAGGGACUGGAUGGAAGAAACUGAUGAUACUGUGAUGGACCGGGCCAUGUUUACCACACCCUGCAGGUUCAGCUGUUCAACCGGCAGAAAACAGAACAAGCUGAGAUGAAUCCCAUCACAUUCUUACUCUUUUUGCAAUAAAAUGAUUCUUAAUUGAAC